GAUGAAGAACGUAGCGAAAUGCGAUACGUAAUGUGAAUUGCAGAAUUCAGUGAAUCAUCGAAUCUUUGAACGCAUAUUGCGCUCUCUGGUAUUCCGGAGAGCAUGCUUGUUUGAGUAUCAGUAAACACCUCAACUCCCUUUUCUUUUUUGAAAUUGGAGCUGGACUUGAGUGAUCCCAACGCUUUCUUCCAAGAAAGUGGCGGGUUGCUUGAAAUUCAGGUGCAGCUGAACUUUUCUCUGAGCUAUAAGCAUAUCUAUUUAGUCUGCCUAAAAAACAGAUUAUUACCUUUGCUGCAGCUAACAUAAAGGAGACUAGUUCUUGUGCUGACUGAUGCAGGAUUCACAGAGACAGCUUCGGCUGACUUUGUAAACUCGAUCUCAAAUCAAGUAAGACUACCCGCUGAACUUAAGCAUAUCAAUAAGCGGAGGA
RNAcentral lists this unclassified non-coding RNA (430 nucleotides) under soil metagenome. Its description in RNAcentral is "partial contains 5.8S ribosomal RNA, internal transcribed spacer 2, and large subunit ribosomal RNA". The stretch from base 1 to 120 matches the Rfam family "5.8S ribosomal RNA", at positions 35 to 154 of the family's 154-position model. The record is from RNAcentral.